UCGACGGUUUGUGGAUGAACGAUGCCGACAUGGACAACGCGAUCGCGCGGCUGCUCGACAUGACCUAUCAGGACCGCGCGCGCAAUGCGUGCAUCGGCACCGAACGGGCCGAUCUCGNNNNNNNCAUUCUCGACGCCAUCCGCAAGGCGUUCCCGCUGCCGCGCCUGCGCGUCGCCGACCGCGGCCUGCGCGAAGGCAUGCUGGUGGAAAUGAUGCGGGCCG
This 222-nucleotide unclassified non-coding RNA is filed under the name Hevea brasiliensis (rubber tree). The record is from RNAcentral. Lineage: Eukaryota; Viridiplantae; Streptophyta; Magnoliopsida; Malpighiales; Euphorbiaceae.